GACGAACGCUGGCGGCGUGCUUAACACAUGCAAGUCGAGCGGUAAGGCCUUUCGGGGUACACGAGCGGCGAACGGGUGAGUAACACGUGGGCGACCUGCCCUCAGCUCUGGGAUAGGCCUGGGAAACCGGGUCUAAUACUGGAUAUGACUCCAUGACGCAUGUUGUGGGGUGGAAAGCCUUGUGCGGCUGAGGAUGGGCCCGCGGCCUAUCAGCUUGUUGGUGGGUGAUGGCCUACCAAGGCGA
RNAcentral lists this ribosomal RNA (244 nucleotides) under uncultured Actinomycetes bacterium. RNAcentral describes it as "uncultured actinobacterium partial 16S ribosomal RNA". It matches the Rfam family "Bacterial small subunit ribosomal RNA", at positions 28 to 276 of the family's 1533-position model. Lineage: Bacteria; Bacillati; Actinomycetota; Actinomycetes. The record is from RNAcentral.